UUGUUUUGUUUGUCGCUAGUGUGAUUUCCCUGGAUCUUGGUGGAGUUAAAUGCUGAUACGUUCCUCCAAACACGCCUGAUAUCGACAUGGAGUCUGCUGAAAUGUCGCUGACGAGUUCAUCCUGCCUUCAGAUGGCACAUCAGAAAGGAAACAGAGGGCUGGUUACUGGUUAACUGGGACGAUGGAGCUCUCCUCACGUACGCACAACCAGCUGCUGGCUGGAGUUUGAACUGCCGUCAUGUGAGACACACCAGGUGCGAGCUGAGGACACAUAAACAUGGAGUCAUGUUACUGAGUAGGUUCUAAUGUAUCUGAGUUCGUAUGAACCUGAACAUGGGGUCCUCCUUCCUCCUCCUCCUCCUCCUCCUCCCUCUCAUGGUAAACAUCACAUCCAGCACGUCUCACUUGUCUCCCUCACAGGACUUUCCAACAACCAGCCACAAUACGACCGGAAGUCUGAAUGCGUGCCUUCAAAAUAAAGGCUUGACUCGCCUUUGAGUCGGAUUGUUGCCUCGUGA
Molecule: non-coding RNA, 518 nt
Organism: Epinephelus lanceolatus (giant grouper)
Lineage: Eukaryota; Metazoa; Chordata; Actinopteri; Perciformes; Serranidae
Source: RefSeq, a predicted model, not a curated record